GCAGAUAAAGCUUAAUGGUAGACUACAUGCUUGGCAUGCAUGAGGUUCUGGGUUCAAUUUCCAGUGUCUCUG
Molecule: transfer RNA, 72 nt
Filed under: Camelus bactrianus (Bactrian camel)
Lineage: Eukaryota; Metazoa; Chordata; Mammalia; Artiodactyla; Camelidae
Also listed under: 2 other names
Rfam family: tRNA
About the family: Transfer RNA (tRNA) molecules are approximately 80 nucleotides in length. Their secondary structure includes four short double-helical elements and three loops (D, anti-codon, and T loops).
Source: Rfam by way of RNAcentral